CACGUAGUUAGCCGGAGCUUAUUCCUCAGGUACCGUCAAAUUCCUCUUUCUUCCCUGAUAAAAGAACUUUACAUUACGAAUAACUUCUUCGUUCACGCGGCGUUGCUCGGUCAGGGUUCCCCCAUUGCCGAAAAUUCCCUACUGCUGCCUCCCGUAGGAGUAUGGACCGUUCUCAGUUCCAUUGUGGCCGUUCAACCUCUCAGUCCGGCUACGCAUCAUCGCCUUGGUAGGCCCUUACCCCACCAACUAGCUAAUGCGCCACAGGCCCCUCCUUAAGCAGAUCUCUCUUUUAAAUAUAAAAGAUUCUUCCUCUAUAUCCUAUCCAGUUUUAUCCAUCGUUUCCAAUGGCUAUCCUCGUCUUAAGGGUAGGUUACCUAUGUAUUACUCACCCGUUCGCCACUAAAGUACCCGAAGGUACUUCCGUUCGACUUGCAUGUAUUAGGCACGCCGCCAGCGUUAAUCCUGAGCCAGGAUCAAACUCU
Molecule: ribosomal RNA, 482 nt
Filed under: uncultured Anaeroplasma sp.
Lineage: Bacteria; Bacillati; Mycoplasmatota; Mollicutes; Anaeroplasmatales; Anaeroplasmataceae
Description: partial 16S ribosomal RNA
Source: RNAcentral